CAAACAGUGUUAGUAUAGGAGUUCCCAUCAUGGCUCAGCGGUUAACUAACCUGACUAACUAACCUGCAGGUUUGAUCCCUGGCCUCGCUCAGUGGGUUAAGGAUCCAUUGUUGCCAUGAGCUGUGGUGUAGGUCGAAGACACGAUUGGAUCCAGUGUUGCUGUGGUGUGGUGGAGGCUGUCAGCUACAGCUCUGAUUGGACCCCUAGCCUGGGAACCUCCAUAUGCUUUGGGUGACACCCUAAAAAGACGACCCCCCCAAACAAAAGACCAGUGUUAGUACAGACUGUAGUGUAUUCUGUUUAAUGUAUGUAUUCCGUUUAAUGGAUGUAUAUGAAUGGUGUAAAAAAUUCAAAAGGUGUUUGCCUUCAUUACACUAUAGUUAGGGCCAACUCUUUGAGCCUGACUUGGGCAGCAGAAUUUCUGAAUUUUAAAUUAAGGCUUCAAUUGAAUGUAAAGUACUCUCAUAUUAAGUGAUUUUGAAGGCACUUGGCUGAUUUAACCUUACAAAAUAGUCUGAGACAUUUAUAUUUGGGAUUGAAACCACCAAAAUCAUGCUCCAAAUGAAGGAGAAUUAAUUUUCAGGAUUAAUGUAGGAUUUUGAAACAAGCUUCACACUUAAAAGAGACUAAUAACUGGCUAGUGACUAGAGUUAGCUUGAGUGUGAGAGUUGGGCUUCUCAGUGGGUUUUUUUUUUUUUUUUCCCUUUGUUAUUAUUCAAGUAUAGUUGAUCCACAAUGUUUCUUCAAGUCCUGUUGUACAGUAAGGUCCCAUUGCCCAUCUAUUCCAAAUAUAAUAGUUUGCAUCCAAAAACCCCCCAAAGUGCCAAUCCAUCUCACUUUGUUUCUAGUUCUGCAGUCUUAUUCUGUUGUCACAUGAUACAUUCUGCCUUCCUCCUCUGAUGGAAGCACAGCAGUCCUUUUCUGGUCCCUUAGCAUAAUAGCCCAGACCUAAGACAAAAAGUUAAGAAAUGCAAGGCUAGGACCCCACAUGCUGAGGUUUGGAACUACUUUUCUUCAUAUUCAGCAUUUAACUCCCAGUGCUUAGAAGCAUUCAGUAUUUGAUGAAUGAGUGAACUCUCUUUGAUUUUAGCACAGGCUAAUUUUCAUGUCCUCCUAGCAUUACUGUUGGAAUGAGAAAUUCUAAUCUAAAUACACAAAAAUGUAUUUCUUAUAGGGCCAGACCAUUGUUCUGGUUUAGCUUGCACUUUCCUUUCUUGCCUAGGUUAUAUGUGUAAAGGAGAGCUAAGUUGCUGUUUAACAUCAUUAGCUUCAUUGUAUUUAAUUCUGUAAAAAUAAAUGUUUCAUAAUAAUGACAGGAGAUAAAUACUACUCUGGCUUUGUAGAACCACCUUGGAAUUAAAUUGUUAUUAUUUUUUAUACCUGGCAGCUGAUGGGGUAAGAAGAACACCCUUUCAUUCUAAAUAGGGUUGUGAUACUCUGGAUGGAAAUGAAAUGUGUACAUUUUCAUUUUUCUUUGAUUAAAAAUGGCUUUUAAUAUUUUACAUUUUAGUGUCAUGUUAGAGAUUUCAUUCCAUGACCAUUUGUUCAUUCACAUGUAUUUUUAUUUUUAGCUCUAAGCGAAAGACAUGAGGCCUAAGACUGAAAUGAGGUUGUUUUGAGGCCAUCUGAUUUCUGGCUAGAAGGUGUGCGAUCGCCUCGUCCUGAAACCACUGCAGACAGAAUGGUUUGCAAUUUUUUUUGGUGAUGACAUGUUCAGAAUCUUGGAUCCCUAAGUUGAAAUAUAUUGGAAAUACUUAGGAACUCUGGAAAUUGUUGUUUUUGUAUAUCUAAUGACUUUCUAGGUGAAUCAAUAGAUUUAAUAAAAAGUAUAUAAAAGAAUAGGCAUCAUAACUUUGUAUUUCUAAGUUGGCAUGCGUGUCUCAAAUUCUCAGCUAUCAAUAUUACUGUCAUACUCUGGUGACAGUUAUCUUCUGAAGAUUUGGGGGCUUUCAUGGACCCCCUGUUUUCCCAGGCAAUCUGUAUAGUCCUCCCAAGCUGAUUUGUGCAACUUCUUUUACUUUCUAUCUGCCUUGGAGUGUAGCUCACUUAGAUCAGAGAUAAUUCUUGAGCUGGAGGAGAGAGGAUAAAAUAAUCAUCAGGUGACAAUCCUAAAGGUAGCAAUUAUAAAACUUCAACCUGGAAAUGGCCUCAGCACGGUCUAUGUUAGAAUAUGCAAAUUCUACCCAAUAUAUCCAAAUACACUUGUGGCAGAAUGCUGCCAAGUUUCGAACGGUAUUUUAAUAUUGUGCUAAUGAGGAAGGAAAGAAGCUGCUCAUUUUUACCUCCUCCCUCUCUCGCUGUUGUUGAAGGAACUAAUUAGGAAAGGAAAAUGGCCAAGAGGAAUUCCCGUUGUGGUGCAGCGGAAACGAAUCUGACUAGGAAACAUGAGGUUGCAGGUUCAAUCCCUGGCCUUGCUCAGCGGGUUGAAGAUCUGGCAUUGCCAUGAGCUGUGGUGUAGGUCACAGACGCAGCUCAGAUCUGGUGUGGCUGUGGCACAGGCUGGCAGCUAUAGCUCCGAUUAGACUCCCAGCCUGGGAACCUCCAUGUACUGUGGGUGUGGCCCUAAAAAGACAAAAGCAAAAAAAAAAAAAAAAA
Molecule: long non-coding RNA, 2595 nt
Filed under: Sus scrofa (pig)
Lineage: Eukaryota; Metazoa; Chordata; Mammalia; Artiodactyla; Suidae
Description: lncRNA (ENSSSCG00045020424.1)
Source: RNAcentral